ACUCCAAAAAGAAAUUUAGAUUCAGCUGGAAAGCUUUCAUAUCAAAGAAAGAAAAGAUUAUGCUCGAAGAUGCUGAAAGGAAUUCAAAUCUCAUGGGCAAUAAGUUCACAAGUCAAUAUAGACCAUUUCAAAUAUUAUCUUUUGAAAAAAAUAAAGCAAAUAGAAAAAAAAAAGAAAAAACGAGAAAACAAGAAAACAAAUCCUGCUGAUUGGAGGAUCUAUAUAAGUUAGUCAAACAAAAGUAAAGAAAAUAAAAGAUGAGAUAGAAAUAUUCGACUAGAAAAUCUGAAAGGACUAGUUGAUAACAAGAGUAGUAUUAUGUGAAAUAGAGACUGUUUGUGCCCUUAUUAAAUGAACAAUAUUUGAUUAGAAAUUUUUGUUAAAUUUACACAUUAGUAGAAGAAGAAAACAAAUAAGAAGCAGAAUCUAUGAGAUCUACUGGAAGCAUGAUCAUUUUCUUGUAGCACUUAAGUCUAUAUCAAU
RNAcentral lists this long non-coding RNA (483 nucleotides) under Ricinus communis (castor bean). RNAcentral's name for it is "long non-coding RNA (RCOM_LNC001006)". Lineage: Eukaryota; Viridiplantae; Streptophyta; Magnoliopsida; Malpighiales; Euphorbiaceae. The record is from RNAcentral.